GACGAACGCUGGCGGCGUGCUUAACACAUGCAAGUCGAGCGGUAAGGCCCUUCGGGGUACACGAGCGGCGAACGGGUGAGUAACACGUGGGUGACCUGCCUCUAGCUCUGGGAUAAGCCUGGGAAACUGGGUCUAAUACCGGAUAUGACUCCACGGCGCAUGUUGUGGGGUGGAAAGCCUUGUGUGGCUAGAGAUGGGCCCGCGGCCUAUCAGCUUGUUGGUGGGGUGANGGCCUACCAAGGCGACGACGGGUAGCCGGCCUGAGAGGGCGACCGGCCACACUGGGACUGAGACACGGCCCAGACUCCUACGGGAGGCAGCAGUGGGGAAUCUUGCGCAAUGGGCGAAAGCCUGACGCAGCGACGCCGCGUGAGGGAUGAC
Molecule: ribosomal RNA, 381 nt
Filed under: uncultured bacterium
Lineage: Bacteria
Description: bacterial SSU rRNA
Rfam family: Bacterial small subunit ribosomal RNA
Source: RNAcentral